Molecule: long non-coding RNA, 180 nt
Organism: Amphimedon queenslandica
Lineage: Eukaryota; Metazoa; Porifera; Demospongiae; Haplosclerida; Niphatidae
Exons: 2
Source: RefSeq, a predicted model, not a curated record
CCCUUCUCUUUCAGGUACUGAUAAAUCUCUAAUGUCUUUAAUAAAACAGAAAUGUGGCCUGGCCUUACCUUAUGCUGCAGCUUUCCUUUAAAAGAAUGACAAUAAUGAAGCUGAUGAUAUCACUAAUCUUGAUGAUAUUAUUGGUACGUUUAUACAGAUCACUGAGUUUCAAGAGUUCAA